ACAAAGGCACCUGUCAGUUGCCUGGCUAUAAAGGUGGCCUCUCCCUCUUCCCAGCACAGACCUCGGUGGGCAGCAGCUGCGGCACUCAGCUCUGGGGGGUCUCCUUCCUCGGGGAGGCAAAAUGGCAGGAGGAAGGAGGCACUCAUCCCGCAAUGGGAUGCUGAGGAACAGGCAGAAGGCAAGUUCGCUUGCUGGGUCCCAGGGUGGGAUCGCAGCUUGAAGGCAGCCAAUUCCCAGAGUCAGAAGCUGGCUGGUGUCUGGAAACAGACCUGGCAGAAGCCGGCAGGUGUUGGUGGCUGGUGGAGUUUGCAGUCAGAAACCAGCGGGUGCCGUAAGGUGCUGCAGGUGUCAGCUGGCUGAAGGUCACCUUUGGAAGUCAGCUGUGUGGAUAUUCAUGACUUGAAGCUGGAUGUGUGUGUGUGUGUGUGUGUGUGUGUGUGUGUGUGUGUGAAUGCGUCCACAGACAUUCCUCACGGGAUGGCAGAUGGCAUGUGUCUAUGAGUGCAAAUGGGAGGUUUCGAAUAGAGUGUGUCUAUGAGUGCAAAUGGGAGGUUUCGAAUGGAGUGUGUCUGCGUGUGUGAAUGGGAGCAUUCGGACGUGGUCCAGGUAAGUAGUGUUGUGGCUGGGAAAUACGUGCUCAGCGGGUGGCAGAUGCCAUCCUCUGGGCGCAGGGUGAAUGGAACCAGUGGAUAUUCAUGGGCAGAAACCAGCAGAAGUUGACCAGGACGUCCGGGGUGAAGUUGCCAGGCAGCAGCCAGUGGAGGGUCUGGCUGAGGCUGCUGGACGGAGGCCAUCCCACUCAACGUGUUGUUUGCCUUCCAGGAAGCCGGUGAGGUUUUCCCCAAGACCGACCGUGAAAGUAAUGAAGAGAACAGCAGGACUGAAGCAAGGCAGUUUAUUUUCAUCAUCAUCAUCAUCAUUUAUUUAUAUCCCGCCCUCCCCAGCCGAAGCCGGGCUCAGAGUGGCUAACAAUAAAAGUAAUGCAACAUUCUAAAAUCAGUUCAUUUUAAAAUCAGUUCAGGAUCAAAUUAAUGGCAACCAUUGGGCUAGAGUUCAGUGAGGAUUACAGAAGGAGGGGGUCAGACUGUGCCUUGGCCAAAGGCCUGGUGGAACAGCUCCGUCUUGCAGGCCCUGCGGAAACACGUCAAAUCCCGCAGGGCCCUAGUCGCUUGUGACAGAGCGUUCCACCAGAUUGGGGCCACAACCGAAAAAGCCCUGGCUCUGGUUGAGGCCAGCCUAACCUCCCUGUGACCCGGGACCUCCAAGAUGUUUUUGUCUGAAGACCGUAAGGUCCUCCGUGGGACAUACCAGGAGAGGCGGUCCUGUAGGGACGAGGGUCCUAGGCCGUAUAGGGCUUUAAAGGUCAAAACCAGCACCUUGAACCUGAUCCUGUACUCCACCGGGAGCCGGUGCAGCUGGUAUAGCACCGGGUUAAUGUGAUCCUGCAGUGAGGACCCCGUAAGGCGUCUUGCCGCAGCAUUCUGCACCUGCUGGAGUUUCUGGGUCAGCUUCAAGGGCAGCCCUGCAUAGAGUGAGUUACAAUAAUCCAGUCUGGAGGUGACCGUUGGUGGCUCACAGUGGCUAGGUCAUGCCUUUUUAAAAAAAAUGCCUUUUUUUAAAAAAAGUAAAACUGUGUCUGACUGAUGUCAUAUAAAACAAAUGCAAUGCUAAGUUUCUAAAUGCAUACAUGUUUAGUGUUCUUUCUUGCCACCUCCCAUGAGGGGUUGUGCAGCUGUUUCUGUAGUUGCCAAUGGCUAUGAUGAUGUCAAAGUGUAAUGGCUACGAUGAUGUCGAAACUUCUGUGAUGUCACAAACAGACAUGGAUUCCUGAGAGGAAAAGCAGGAGGGUGUAGGGAUAGAAAGACAGGGUGAGAAAGGCUAGAGAACUAGAUGGCUUUAAAAGAAGACUGGACAAAUUCAUGGAUUCGGUGGGUGCCAGAAGUUGCUGCAGAUGUCAGCAUUUGAAGGUCUCCUUUGGAAGUCAGUUGACAGAAGCUGUGUGGAGAUUCAUGGCUUGAAGCUGGUGUGUUUGUGUGUGUUUAUGAAUGGAGAGCAGCUGGUGAGUGAAUGCGUCCACAGACAUUCUUCAUGGGAUGGCAGAUGGCGUGUGUCUGCGUGUGCAAAGGGAAGCGUUCGGACGUGGUCUAGGAGAGCAGUGCUUAUGUCUGGGAAAUGCAUGUUCCAUAUGUUAAGUCUGCAAGCUGUGCAUAUUCUGUCAACUUAACAUAAAGAGAACAAGAAGAACAUACAUUGAAAGAAGACUAGAAAAGGCUGAUUGAAUAUAUGGUAAAUAACUAUGUACACAUUUCUCGUUGAGACUAUGCCUGACCUGACACAUGUUGACCAGCUGAUAAUUGUGGUUUGAUAUUGAUCCACUGUCCCCUCCUGCUACUUCCCUUUCCCUGCCCGCAGCUUCCCCAUUCCUUUUCUGGCUAUCCUGGGGCACCCCCAGGAUGACCUUCCUCUUCUGCAGGGGAGAAACGAGGCUUUCUUUCACCCGGGUCAAAGACUCAGUUUGGCACCCCCUCACACACACAUUAUAGUAGUAGUAGGAGUAGUUGAAGAUGAAGAAGAAAAUGUGAUGAUGAUCAGGCGCAUACCAGAGAGUAAGCCCUACUGAACUCAGUGAGACUUAAUUCUUCUCAGUAGUAAAGGCUUGCACUUUAAGGCUCUAAAGAAUAGAAUAGAAUAGAAUAGAAUAGAAUAGAAUAGAAUAAUAAAUACUCCACAAGUUUCCUUGAAAAAUUACUGGCUGCUGAACCAUGAAAAGCUCUCAGACCCAGGGAAAUUAAUUGGUACACAAUGCAAUCAAAAUAUGGCUCAAGCAAAAGUGUGGUGCACCCUAAGUUAUGUCUUUUAAUUUAAAUGAUAGCUCUGAGUAAAACCUCGUUGGCUACCAUGAAGUAUUUUUUUCGGAAGUCAUGAAAAAAGGUCUCAGGGUAAAUAAGCAAGUCUGAAUGUGAAUAAGAUUUGCAGUACAGACUGCCUUAAUUCACCUUCCGGCCUGGCAUUUACCAUAUUUUUUCAUGUAUAACCUGCCCCCACGUAUAAGACACCCCCUAUUUUGGGGGACUCCAAAUUGAGAAAAUGGGGGGGGGGAGAUUGUAUCUGUGUAUAAGACGACCCACAAAUUUGAACCUAUUUUUAAAAUAAAAAACCCUAGUCUUAUACACGGAAAAGUACGGUAUCUCUUGAGUCUGUCAGCCAACCUUUCCUCUUGGGCCCAGAGUCCUCAGCUCCCUUGGCCAGAGCAGCUGCCCCUUUAGACAUCUCGGACAGUCGCUCAACAAGGCAGGGAGCUUCAGAUCAGGAAUGCUGUCCUGCCAACCUCACGGUUCAGGCAAGAGACCCCAAGCGCAUAAAAUUCAAAUCUUUCAUACAUUUCCCUACAUAGAAUCAUAGAAUUUGGGAGUUGGGUCAUCUCAAUGAAAGCAUCUAUGGCAGAUGUCCAUCCGACCUCUGCUUAGAAGCCUCCAGAGGAUGAGAGUCCACAUGGAACACAUCUGCAGUUACACUGGCUCCGUGUUUAUUCAUUCUUCCCCCUCUUAUCUUCUCUGCAGUUUCUAACCAGCGCCAUGCUCUCUCCAACUGAAUGGUCUCCUGCCCCCCCUUUUAACCCUUUGCCUUAGUUUCCAGGUUCCCCAUUUCAAUGGUCACCGAACCACAGAUUUAAUCCCACAGCUGCCACACCUCACUGACUUCCCCCAACUUACUCAACCGCAUAUUCUUUAACAUGUAACAAUAGCAUGCUAAUGCAAGCAUUGCCAUUUUUUUCGUAAUUUUCCAGAACUCUCUCUUUCUCUCCCGCUCACUCCAUUUCCAUGCUGACAAGGACUGAACAGGAACGCAUGGACUAUGCAGAAUUAGAUAAAUUAACAGGAAAGGUUCGAAACCUGUGGGACCAGAGAUUCUUAGAAGACUGGAGUAAAUAUGUGAACUAUUUGAAAAGUAAUUGUAAUGAACAGAUCACGCUAGUAGGACUGCAAGAAGUUCUGUAAGGAGGACGAUUUGAAAUAUUGCAAGAAAGACUACGAGGAGAGUUAUUAGUUAAUGAUGAUUAAGAGUAAUAGAGAAAUUAAGAAAUGCAGAAUAAGUGAUAAAGAAUGAAAAAUCAUCAGAGGAGUUGACGGAAGUCUAGAAUAUUGUAUAAGAUAAGAAGUUAAGUUAUAUGGUUGUUGGAAAUGAUGUUUAAAAAACCCCAAUAAAAAUGUGUGUGUGUGUGUGUGUGUGUGUGUGUGUGUGUGUGUGUGUACUGAACAGGACCGCUUUUGUGCCACUCAUGUUCCCCCGCCAUGGCCAUUUGAGGAAGCGCAUGGAGCUCUCUGGCCAACAGGGCUCUUGAUUCUUCUGAAGGCCUCCUCUCAGCAUUCCUGGCUGGCUCUGAGCCCACCUUUCCCAUCUUCUUACUGCUCCUGAUGCUAAGAGGGAGGCAGACCCCGAUGGCUCCAGCACGACCCCCUUCCUCCUCGCAGGAGGUCACUCACCUGGACUUGGCGGCUGGUCCAGGCACUCCUGGAAGGGGAUUCCCAGAGCUGCAAGCCUGAACUGCCAGGUGCUGGGAAGAGCUGCAAGAAGGAGCUUGUCUGUGGGUCAGACACAAACCCAAAUUGUGUCUUUUCCCCCAACACACACACAGGGAGAACUCCUAUUUCUCCCCAAACCAAUGACCUAGAAGCUGCUCUUCUGAUGGUGAACGCUUGAGUCAUCUUUCUCUAUGGAAUGGUCAUAUUUUACAACAACAACAUAACAGCUUGCUGGAUAGGGCCCAUCUAGUCCAGUAUCCUGUUCUCAAAGGGGCUGGAGAGUUUCCUGUGGGGAGCCAGCAAGCAGGAUUUUAGCACCAGCAGGGGCAGAACUGGAUGUUCGCAAACGUGGCCCCCGCCAAGGGCACCCCCCCCACAGGGCUGCCGAAAUCAUGGUACUUCGCCUGAACUUUCUUUAAUUUGUCCUGAGUCUUUUGGGGUUUUUGAUAAUUGCAGAGGUAUUGCUCAAGACCUGUUUAUCAGUGGUGUGCAAGGCUUACUUGGGCAAACACUAGCCUUGUGUAAGACUUCAGUGUUGAACUUUUUAAUUAAAGUGGAAAUGUCUCCCCCUGCCCCACCCCAAAGCACAAGGUGUCAGUUUUGCCCACUGGGAAUCAUGAUAACCUUUGCUCAGAAUUCGCUAGGGACUAGGGCCUUGGUAGCCCUGGUCAGUUUUGGAGUAUGAUGUAGGUUUAACAGGGUCAGUCUGGAAGCUGCAUCUGUGUGGGUGGAAUGUAUAAGAACAGGCUUGCAAACCAGUCUGCUUGUCAGGCAAUGGCUUUGGCUGACUACUUAAGAUUAGCAUAAUCAUAGAUUCGUAGAGUUGAGGGGUCAUUUAGUCCAACUGCAAUGCAGGAAUGCAGUUGCUCUGUGCCAUGGAACAGAUGGGUACCUCCAUCUGGUUUAUUCCCACAUAUAUAUCACCACCCACCAGUGAGCUUGACAUUGACACCAGGAAAGGUCCGAGAACAGAUAAUUCAUUAGUCAGUCUAUGAGAACUUAGAAAAGGAUGCUGUGAUUACUAAGACCCAGCAUAGGUUUCUCAAAGAUAAGUCAUGUCAGAUGAACCCAAUUUCUUUCUUUUUUAUGGAGUAACAAGCUUGGUAGAUCAGGGGAAUGCUGUGGACAUAGCGUAUCUUGAUUUCAGUAAGUUCUUUGGACAAAGUCCUCCAUGAUAUUCUUGCGAGGAAUCUGGUAAAAUGUGGGUUGAACGAGGUAACUGUUAGGUGGAUUUGUAGCUGGUUGGCUGCUCCCAUUGGCUAUGGGUUGUCUAUGAUAUCACAAAGGCACCUGUCAGUUGCCUGGCUAUAAAGGUGGCCUCUCCCUCUUCCCAGCCCAGACCUCGGUGGGCAGCAGCUCUGGGGGGUCUUCUUCCUCAGGGAGGCAAAAUGGCAGGAGGAAGGAGCCACUCAUUACAAAUAUUAUGCCUGAAUGUAUCUGAAAUAUACUCGGAGUCGAGCGUGGAUUUCAUGCUCUUUAUUCUGCUCAUGGUAGGGAGAAAUGAAUGUUCCCCCAAAAUAUCUGCUUUAUAUACAUUAUUUACACAAUGGGCCCCAAGUGAUUGCCUAAUUCCGGAAUUCUCCUGUAGGCCAAUCAGGUUGUGGAUUCACUUCCACCUGGACCUGGAUUGGAUGACUCCUGCAGACCAAUCAUACUGCUGCAUUCUGAAUCCUAUUGUUCUAGGACCAAUCAGACUGCUGCAUUCUGGAUCUCAUUGUUCUAGGACCAAUCAGACUGCUGCAUUCUGAAUCCUAUUGUUCUAGGACCAAUCAGACUGCUGCAUUCUGAAUCCUAUUGUUCCAGGACCAAUCAGACUGCUGCAUUCUGAAUCCUAUUGUUCUAGGACCAAUCAGACUGCUGCAUUCUGAAUCCUAUUGUUCUAGGACCAAUCAGACUGCUGCAUUCUGAAUCCUAUUGUUCUAGGACCAAUCAGACUGAUGCAUUCUGAAUCCUAUUGUUCUAGGACCAAUCAGACUGAUGCAUUUUGGAUCCUAUUCAACACCAUCCUUUCGACUUGACAGCUCAGGGAAGAUACCUAGCUUUAUAAAUUCGUAGAAAAUCCAUACUUUAACUGGGUCUCCUCAUUCCAACACCAUUUUAACCCUUAAAGAAAAGUGAAUUUGGGCUAUACCUCCCUCCAUGAACCAAGAAGCAGGAAGUCAUGUAGGCAGCAGGAACAGGGCAUCCCGCCAUAAUUCCCCAAGCGUGAGAGCACAGACAUGGCCCCCACCCAGGGAGCGACCAGGGGGCAACACUAGACAUCCCCAGAGGCAGUUGAGCAAGUCCGGUGUUCUGAAAGCCCAUCUCCAGACAAGUCCUGAGGGCAAGGAUAUGUCAAGAGUUUUAUUGUUCUUUUGGUGAUGGGGACUUAAGGGGUGUUGGGAAAGGGGUCUGAGAAAGUGACCUCAUGUUGGACUUGUUUACCCCCCUCCCCAUUUGUGACAUGCUAGUGAUGUAGUGAUGAUGUAUCAGUGAUGCCUCUCGAAGUGUAUUCUGGGGGAAAGAGGGAAGGUUUAAAAGAGGAGGUCACCCCUUACUCGGGGUUCUUACUCCUUUGGAGACCUGUUGCGCAAACAGUAAAGAUCAUGGUCUACUGACUGCUGUUUUGUUCCAAAUUAUUUGGCUGGAACUUCCUUCUUUUACUGACUGCAUGGACCCACAGGGGACUUGCACUUCCAUGAGCUGGGCUGUUGAGUGGUCUCUCACCCCGGAAUUUUUUUCAUAACAAGGCCAAAAAAUAAUAAAAAGGAGGUGAGUUUAAAGACAAGGCACACAGGUGAAUUAGGACAACCACUGGGCAGCCUAACAUGUCUAAACAACACAUUUAAACCUACUUUAAGCAAAAUCCAGACUUGCUUAAUUAUUCUGAGCAGUGUAAAUCUCCAAGGGACUGGAACUUGCCUUCAAAAAAAUGCAAUUUCUGGACUCCUAGAACUCUAAGACUCGGUCCCCUCCAACUGGGCGCAGACUCUGUCCUGCAAGAGGAAGUAAUAUUUGACCCUAGGCAGUGCCAAGUGAUUUGAAUAUAUGAAGCCUCCAAUUUCUCAUUUAACACAUGUUUGCAACAAACACUAAAAGCCAUAUUUAUUUUGGCCACAUCCCAGCCAUGCCCAUUAAAACACAAAGUCAAUAGUCUGAAGAAGCAUUGAUAACAUCAAUGUCAAGAGGCUCUCCUAAGAAUUUCACAGCAACCUUCUGGAUCAGACCAGAGGUCCAGCUCCUCGCCCAGAAUCCUGUUCUCUCCGUUGCCAACCAGGUGCCCAUGGGAAGCCCACCAGAAGGAGAGGAGCGAAACAGCACUCUCACUACUUGUGGUUCCCAGCAAUUGCCAUUCAGAGGCAUCUUUGGCGAUCCCUCGUAGCUGAGCAAGAUUGUCUUCCAUAAACACGGUUUUAAAAGCGAGUCCGUAAGUGACUGUGGAGGCCAAUUCUAGACCCACACGUCCUUCCACAGUGGGGACAUAGGUUUCCAGGCAGGAGUUGAUCACGGUGUGGAUUUGCCAAGCGUGCCUUCCUCUUAGCACGUUUCUCCCUUGCGUCCUCAGUUCGAGUGUCUUCAAAGUCCAUGACACCUUUGGCAAAGGCUGUUCUCCACCUGGAACACUUGCAGGCCAGUGUUUCCCAAUUGUCGGUGUUUAUGCUACAUUUUUAAAGAUUUGCCUUGAGACAGUCUUUAAACCUCUUUUGUUGACCACCAGCAUUACGCUUUCCAUUUUUGAGUUUGGAAUAGAGUAGUUGCUUUGGAAGACGAUCAUCAGGCAUCCGCACAACAUGACCAGUCCAACGAAGUUGAUGUUGAAGAAUCACUGCUUUGACACUGGUGAUCUUUGCUUCUUCCAGAACACUGGCAUUAGUUCACCUGUCUUCCCAAGUGAUGUGUAAAAAUUUUCAGAGACACCAUUGAUGGAAUCUUUCAAGGAGCUGGACAUGGCGUGGUCCAUGUUUCACAAGCAUACAGUAAGGUUGGUAGUACUAUAGCUUUGUAAACAAAGUCUACCUAUGUGAGGUCAAGAGGCUCUCUUAAGAAUUUCAUAGCAACCUUCUGGAUCAGACCAGAGGUCCAUCUCCUCACCCAGAAUCCUGUUCUCUCCGUUGCUAACCAGGUGCCCAUGGAAAGCCCACCAGAAGGAAAGGAGCGAAACAGCGCUCUCACUACUUGUGGUUCCCAGCAAUUGGCCUUCGGAGGAGGAAGAACAUCAUCACCAUGACUAGCAGCCAUCGAAGGCCUUAGUUGCCGUCUGGCACUCAACUGCCAUAGAUCACAGAGUGUGGUGGUCAUGGCAGGGCUCAGGAAAUCCCAGACUGGCUGCGUCCAAUACAGUGGUACCUCAGGAUGCGAACAGGAUCUGUUCUGGAGCCCUGUUCGCAUCCCAAAUGGAACGCAAGAUGUGACGGCGCAUCUGUGCAUGUCAUGUUUUGCCGCUUCCACACAUGGCGUCAUUUUGAGCAUCUGCGCAUGCACGAGCGGCGAAACCCGGAAGUAACGGGCUCCGUUACUUCCAGGUUGCCGCGGAGCGCAACUCAAACGCGCUCAACCCAAAGCACAUUCAAUUAAAGGUAUUACUGUACUCACUUUAGCAUCCACCUGCUCUCUAAAUGCAACAAGGAUAUGUUGUUAAACUCAAGGCAGAUCCCCUGGUAAUAAGGCAGUGCAAAUUCCCCCUCUUGACAGAGAUGUAGAAACCACACAAGCUGUGUGAGCAGACGGAUGUAAACAGUGGAUCUUGAUAGCCAAAUUCCCUCCGUCAAAGUCUUCCUGAUUGGUUGGGUUGUUCUGAGUCAAACAGGAACUGCCUGUUUGAAAGGGGAUAAAAGGGGACAGGACUCAGCUGGAAGCAGGGAGGUCUCUGUGUCAGUUUCAAGAGAAAAACCUGGGCUUGCCAAGCCACCAAGAAGGACAACAGGUGCUGAUCCCAAGAAAGAGAGCCAAGGUAAGUCUGGGAAAUCCAUUGGAUGUGAGCCUUGAAGCCUAGAACAUGCCUAGAAGUCUUGACGCUGAAUGGGCAGAUCUGAAAUGGCAUUGUUUUUGUUCAGGUCUUAUAUAGGACUGUUAGGAAUCUUUGGAGGACGACCGUUCUCCUGCCCAACGUGGUCCUUGAUUGACCUGAAUGCCUCUUCAGCAAUCCUGGCUGCAAGCAAAGCCCUCUGAGGCUGCUAAGGGGGCCAGACCCCCAUGGCUCCUGCAGGCGGCUGUCCCUCACUGCCAUCUCCACUCUGCCCUUGCAGGAUGCGCCCCACCUGGACUUGGCUGCUGGCCCUGGUGCUCCUGGCAGGCCAGGCGGAGGCCCAGAGCUGCAAGCCAGAACUGCAAGGCAUUGGUAAGACAUGGGGGACGCAAGGGCCAGUCUAUGGGUCAAAGCAACACUUUGGAGUUUUAUUACAAGCAAGCAUGAGAUAGACUUUAUUAAGUAAAUAGGAUUCCAUUUCAGUCUGUUGGCCCUGCUGUUUUUGGAGAGAGAGACCCUGGGUCAGCCUCAUAGGAUCAUAUAACUGUAGAGUUGAAAGGCACCCCCGGGGUCAUCUAGUCCAACCCCCUGCAAUGCAGGAAUCUCAACUCAAGCACCCAGGACAGGUGGCCAUCCAACCUCGCUUAAAAACCCCCAGGGAAGGAGAGUCCACCCCCUCUCGUGGGAGCCUGUUCCACUGCCAAACAGCUCUUACUGUCAGAAAGUUUUUCCUAAUGUUUAGUAGGAAUCUCCUUUCUUGCAACGUAAGGCCAUCAGUUCAAGUCCUACCCUCCAGAGCAGGGGAAAACAAGCUUGCACCAUCUUCCAGGUGACAGCUCUUGAGAUAUUUGCAGAUGGCUCUCAUAUCUCCUCUCAGGCUCCUCUUUUCCAGGCUAAGCAUAUUCAACUCCUUCAACUGUUCCUCAUCAGGCUUGGUUUCCAGACCCUUGAUCAUCUUGGUCGCCCUCCUCUGCACACCUUCCAGCUUGUCAACAUCCUCCUUAAAUUAUGGUGGCCAGAAUUGGACACAGUAUUCCAAGGCAGAAGAGAGUGGAACAAUUACUUCCCUUGAUCUGGACCCUAGACGUCUACUGAUGUAGCCUAGAAUAGCAUUCACUUUUUUUUUCUUCUGCAUCACUCAUCUUAAGUUGUGGUCCACCAAGACCCCUAGAUCCUUCUCACAGGAACUGCUAGUAAGCGAGUGCAAUUCAAUAGAAAGUCUAGUUUUGUUCUGUAAGCACCUCCUCAUUUCUCUGAGCUUCUGUGGGGACCUGGGGCUUCCAUCUCUCAAGUAGGGCACAUGGCUGUGGUAUAAUUAAGAAAUGCUACCACAUCGGUGGUACUGUAUUCUUUAGAGUCACUGCUCGUUCUGAGCAUGGAAGAAAUUUAAAUUUAAAAAUAAUUAUGAGCCUGCUGUUGCCUUCCUGUCCUGCUUGGGGGCUUCCCAGAAGUAUUUGAGUGGCCACUGCGAGAGCAGGUGCUGGAUGAGACGGGCUGGUCUCUUAUUGCACUAUUAUUUGUCCUUGUCCCCAUCUUCUUUCUCUCAUUCCCUGACUCCAGCUCGCAACCUGGCCAGAGGCCGCCCAACCUGUCAGUCCUCCAUCUACCCCCACGAGAUUAUUGGAACAGCAAGCAAAGCCGUGGAUGGGAACUGUGAUGGGGACUGGUAUAAAACAGGCACUUGCACCCACACGCAGCUGGACACGGAGCCCUGGUGGCACGUGGACUUGGGCCAGCAGUACGCCAUCUCUGCUGUGGUGGUGAAGAACCGCGGGGACUGCUGCGGUAAAAGACUCCAGGGAGCUGAGAUCCGCGUGGGAGACUCUGUGGCUGACCAGGGCAAGUCCAACCCCCUGUAAGUUCCAGUUGCCUCUUCCCAAAAUCUCCUUCCAGUAAUCUCCCUUCUUGUAACUUGGAGUCCUUGGUUCAGGUCCACCCCUCCACCCCAGGAGAAAAGAAGCUUGCUCCAUCUUCCAGGUGACAGCUCUUGAGAUAUUUGGAGAUGGCUCUCAUAUUUCCCUUUCUAGGCUAAACAUCCCCAAUUCCACCAACCGUUCCUCAUUAAGACUUGGUUCCCAGACUCUUGGCCAUCUUGGUCGCCCUCCUCUACACAGGUCCCAGCAAACACGAUGUGUACAGUUUUAAUUCUACCAACGUUUAAUGGGUGGUGGUGGUAAUGAUUGCUUUUCCAUGUGUUUUGCAGUUCUUCUUUUUAUCUGUAAGCCUGUCAUGGUCCGUUUCACGGGCGAUCGAGGUCCCGGCAGGGGACGUCGGGACCGAGGGCAAGAUGGCGGGGUGGGAGCAGGAACGGGGGUCCAGAAGCCAGGAGUCAGGAACCAAGAGUCCGAGGGUCAGAGAGUCAAGAAGCCGAGGGUCCAAGGGUCAAGAAGCAAGGAGUCACGAAGUCAGUGGUCCAAGGGUCAGGAAGCAGGGAGUCAAGAAGUCAGGGGUCCGAGGGUCAGGAAGCAGGGAGUCAAGAAGCCAAGGGUCUGAGGGUCAGGAAGCAGGGAGUCAAGAAGCUGAGGUUCAAGGAUCAGGAAGCAAGAAGCCAAACGCAGCAAGGCAGAAAGCGUGUUGCUGUGGCAAAGAGUCGAAGGAAAAUGCUGACCUUAUAUCCCUUCCCGGCUCUUGCCACCAGGUGCAGUGAGUUACAAAUCGGCCUCACCUGUGUGGCUGCGCCUUGCCUCUCCAGAACAAACUUAGGAAGGCCCCAGUCCUGCAAAGUCCUAUUGGUCACAGGGCCUGGUUCCUGCAUGCACACCUGACAAAGCCAUGCUGAGUCCCAUCAGGGGAAAAGACAGGGCAUAAAUAAAAACACCCACCCCACCCCAAUCCCUCCUUCCCAUUCACUCUUUAUUCCCAGAAGACCCCACUUCCUGGAUCAGGGAUGAAGUCCAGGCUUUCCUUGGUCUCCUCUCCUCUGCCCGACCUCUUCAUUUUUUUUUUUUAAUGAUUUUUAUUAAGGUUUCAAUAAAAAGUUAGACAGAAAAACAUAAAAAAGAAAUACACAAAUACACAAUACAUAAUUCAAAAAAAAGAAGAAAAACACAAAAAAAAACAAAGAGCAGAAAAAAGAAACAGAGCAAUUAAAAACAAUAUCACUUUUUCAUUUCCGUUUUUAAAUUUACUUAUUUUCUGGACUUCCUCAUACCUCCCUCUUUUGUAUUCCAGUCCAAAUUGUUUGUCCAGCAAUUUCUUUUCCACCUGCCCGACCUCUUCAGCACAUCACCAAUUCACUUCGCUUCUCCCUCCUCUGUGAAGUUGCGCUUUCCUUAGCCAAAGCUCUGCUCCGCCAUCAGCUCCUCACCCCCCUUGACCCCUGCGGCCCCCCCUCCUCCUGGGUCCUCCUCGGACUCCACCUGGCCGCCUCCUGUCUACUCUCUUCAGCCAGAAGCCACUGGCCACCAGGCGCUGCCCUUCCUCCAAUCCCUCGGAGAUCCGUUAGAUGCCCCUUGCCCUGCCUUGGCACAGAUAUCUGGCCCCUCAGUCUUUGUGAAGACCUGGGCAUGCAGGGGACCCUUAAAACAACGCCAGCGGUUAAUAAUGAAAAUUGGGGAAUGUGAGAAGCCACCUUUCAGUGAUAGGAAUGGGAGGGGCUGGCAUUUGGGAGUCCUUUCACAUACAGCUUUGAGAUUUCCCCCUUUAAAAUCUAAAGCAGCAUAGAAACAAAACGUAUGAAUAAAUGUAUGAAUGUCCCCAUAGACUGAGCUGCUUUGGAUUCACCUCCACUUUCUCUCUGCAGCUGUGGGACCAUCACAGACACCAGCCUUGGCUCCGUCAGCACCUUGUAUUGCAAUUGGCUCAAGGGCCGCUAUGUGAGCAUCCACAUCCCGGGAAGGGCCGAAUACUUGACCUUGUGCGAGGUGGAGGUCUAUGGCACCAAGGCAGAAGACCAGUGCUAGGGAUCCGCAGUCUCUGCGCGUGUGUGUUGGCGGGUGAGGAAAUAAAGAAUUAUUCUCUGGUAAACUU
This is a non-coding RNA of Podarcis lilfordi (Lilford's wall lizard), 13437 nucleotides long. The record is from the annotation of a GenBank genome assembly. NCBI's taxonomy places the organism in Eukaryota, Metazoa, Chordata, Lepidosauria, Squamata, Lacertidae.